Molecule: RNase P RNA, 358 nt
Filed under: Legionella sainthelensi
Lineage: Bacteria; Pseudomonadati; Pseudomonadota; Gammaproteobacteria; Legionellales; Legionellaceae
Description: RNase P RNA component class A
Rfam family: Bacterial RNase P class A
About the family: Ribonuclease P (RNase P) is a ubiquitous endoribonuclease, found in archaea, bacteria and eukarya as well as chloroplasts and mitochondria. Its best characterised activity is the generation of mature 5'-ends of tRNAs by cleaving the 5'-leader elements of precursor-tRNAs.
Source: RNAcentral
AGAGUUGGUCAGGCAAUCGCUCUUUGCUGAUGCAAAGGGAGGAAAGUCCGGGCUCCAAAGGGCAGAGUGCCAGGUAACGCCUGGGAGAUGUAAGUCUACGGAAAGUGCCACAGAAAAUAUACCGCCUAUUAUAGGUAAGGGUGAAAUGGUGCGGUAAGAGCGCACCGCGCGAUUGGUAACAGUCGUGGCAGGGAAAACCCCACUCGGAGCAAGACCAAAUAGGAAUCCAUAUUAGCUAUAAUGGCUAAUACGUGUGGCCCACACGGGAUUCGGGUAGGUUGCUUGAGGCGUGUGGUGACACACGUCCCAGAUGAAUGAUUGUCCGCGACAGAACCCGGCUUAUCGACCGACUCUUCUU